GAUGAACGCUGGCGGCGUGCCUAAUACAUGCAAGUCGAGCGAACAGACGAGGAGCUUGCUCCUCUGACGUUAGCGGCGGACGGGUGAGUAACACGUGGAUAACCUACCUAUAAGACUGGGAUAACUUCGGGAAACCGGAGCUAAUACCGGAUAAUAUAUUGAACCGCAUGGUUCAAUAGUGAAAGACGGUUUUGCUGUCACUUAUAGAUGGAUCCGCGCCGCAUUAGCUAGUUGGUAAGGUAACGGCUUACCAAGGCAACGAUGCGUAGCCGCCCUGAGAGGGUGAGCGGCCAAAAGGGAACUGCGACAAGGUUGAGAAACCUAAGGGAGGCAAGAGGAGGGAAUAUUCAGGAAGGGGCGAAAGUAUGAAGGAGAAAAGACGGGUGAGGGAUGAAGGUAUUAGGAUCGUAAAACUUUGUGAGGAGGGAAGAAAAAAUGUGUAAGGAACUAUGAACGUCUUGAGGGUACCUAAUAAGAAAGCCAGGGCUAGAUACGGG
This 497-nucleotide ribosomal RNA is filed under the name uncultured bacterium. RNAcentral describes it as "partial 16S ribosomal RNA". It matches the Rfam family "Bacterial small subunit ribosomal RNA", at positions 28 to 507 of the family's 1533-position model. The record is from RNAcentral.